UCCCCGUUUAAGCGAGGCAGUCCGUCCAGAGUGCUCCGGUCUCUCGACCGGGUGGCAACAGGACGCAAGGGUUGCGCUCGUUGCGGGACUUAACCCAACAUCUCACGACACGAGCUGACGACAGCCAUGCAGCACCUGUGCACGCUGGUAUUGCUACCUCGUCGGGCUUUCACCCUUCUACUACGUGCAUGUCAAGGCCAGGUAAGGUUCUUCGCGUUGCAUCGAAUUAAGCCACAUACUCCACCGCUUGUGCAGGCCCCCGUCAAUUUCUUUGAGUUUUAAUCUUGCGACCGUACUCCCCAGGCGGCACGUUUAACGCGUUUGCUUCGCCACGGACGGGGUCGAAUCCGCCCACAGCAAACGUGCACCGUUUACGGCUAGGACUAC
Molecule: unclassified non-coding RNA, 387 nt
Filed under: uncultured Verrucomicrobiae bacterium
Lineage: Bacteria; Pseudomonadati; Verrucomicrobiota; Verrucomicrobiia
Description: contains 16S-23S intergenic spacer region
Source: RNAcentral